AAUCCAAUUGUAACACAAAAUUAGUUGCAAAUUUGAGUCUAACAGUGCCAACAGCUUCAACUGAAACCUUGGUUCCCUCACCCACAAAAACAUUAUAACAAUUUGUUUGUUUUUGUUUCUUAAAACCUUGCAAUGAAUUAAUUAAAUGGACAGAUGCACCAGUAUCAAACCACCAACAGUUUGCGGGAAUUUCAAUGAGAUUCGAUUCUUCACAGAUAUAAACAUCAGUUCUACCCUUUGACCUCAAGCAACCCUUGAAUAUUUCACAAUUUUUCUACAGUGUCCUUUGGUUUUGCAGUGAUGACAUCUAAUUUUAUCAAUAUUCUUAGCCUUCUUCUUAAAAUUGUUAGACUUACAGGAACUGGAACUUUUAGCAGAAAUAAUAGACUUAUCAGAGAAGUUGGAUUUAGAAGUUUUACCCGAAUUUGCUUUAAACUCCUUCUUUCCUUUGGUUGAUUGCACAAAUUGAUAAGCUUCUUUGCCUUUGUCCUGGUUUUGUCGGUUUUCUUCUUGCACGCAUUGAGCUAUAAGUUUAUCCACCAUCCACGUUUUACCUUGAGUAUUGUAAGGGACCUUUAGUUGACUGAACUUCAAGGGCAAUGCUUGCAGUAUCAUGAAUACAAGCUGCUUUUCACAAAACUUCAUAUCUAAUGAAUUUAGUUUCUCAGCUGCAUUAGUCAUCUUCAUUAUAUGAUCUAUGAUUGAUCCUCCUCCUUCAAACUUGUAAGUGGUGAGAAGAGUCAUGUACUAAGCUAUUUCAACAUUUUGAAGUUCCUUGAACUUGUUCCCAAUUGCUAUGAGAUAAUCUUUUGCAAUAUCACAUUUCUUAAUACCCCCACGCACAGUGUCAGUCAUGCCACUUUCCAAUAUUGAAAGUGCAACUUUGUUUGCUCUAGCCCUUCAUUCAAACUCCACCUUUUCAGCUUUGGUACUUUUGCCAGUAAGAGCUGAUGUGCUCUGUCAUACUUAUUUAGUAUCAAAAGCAACUCAAUUUCUCUCCUCCACUUUCUAUAAUUGCUUCCACCAUUGAGUACAAGCACAGCAGCCAAGUUGAUGGUUUUAAGUGAAAAUGCAGAAUGACAGCAAUGAAAUCAAGACUUUGAAUCUAACAAGAUUCUUGAUUUCUAUCAAUUCCAACACUUUUAAUUCUGAAUGUGAAUCAAUUUAAUCAUAUAUAUAGUCACUGAACAUGUUUAGAUCAGGCACUUACAGAAUAAACAAUUCACAAGGAAUUACAAACACAGAUCCGAUCCAUGUCCAAGAGAAAGAAUUUCUUAGGCCAUUCAUUACAUGUAUCCAAUUUCUGCAGAAAGUAUCAAUGAAACCAACAACAUACACUAAUUUAUAGCAAUGGAAGCAAUUUAUAUUUACAACUUAAGUUCAAUAUUUGUUAGAAAAUAACGAUUUGGAUUCAGCAAUAUUCAAUUGCAGAUGUUAUCUACAAACAAAUUAAAUCAUCUCAAUGUUGCUGUCAAAUUCCAAAAUUCCUAAUCUACAACUAAUUAUUUAACCAAAGUUUUGAAGAAUUAGAAAGCAAAACGUACCUUCAGCACUUGCAUAUUCUUGUUUGAAUGUUAAUGAGGAUUGUCGUGGUCAAGAGAAAGAAGAAACAAAACUUCUCAAUCGUCACAACUUUUAGCAAAAGCAAGAAAGAAAAGAAACCAAAAACCCAGAAAAUAACAGUAAAAAAUUUAAAAAACCACUGACGUCUCUUUCGCACCCCCCCUUUUUUUUUUUUUUUUUUUUUUUAAACGGUGUCGUUUUGAGUUGUAAACGGUGUCUUUCCUUUAAUUCUUUCUGGGUUCGACAAAAGCUUGGAAUUUAGAUGGAAAUUUGAUCUUGAACAAGAUUUAUGAUUUCAAUGGUCUAAAUUUUAUCAGUUCUGAUACCACAUGUAAGAUAUACAUAUCAUAUAUAUCUCAAUAAUAUUAGCCACAAGUCAGCCAAUUAAUUGAAUCACCGUAAAUCAAGAACAAUCUAAAUAUUCGUCAACAAACACAUCUAUGGAAAGCUCAUGUACUUAGUGGCCAAAUAAUAUUCUAAUUUUCGCUUGUGUGGAUGUGAAAGGGAGAGUCCUACAUCGGAGAUUUAAUAAACCUUGCAACGACUUUCAAGAAACUUCUCAUUUCUAAUUGGUUUGGGAUAGAACCUCAACAUUUUAUUUUAUAUAUACUAAAGCUCAACGGAUGGGUACUGUUCAUUAACAGUGCCCAUCCGGUUUUAACCCUCAUUUUAUUUAUGGUUUUUGGACUUUGGUGGGAUUGUGCAAUAAAUUGUCUAUUUUGCCCCUCUUUCAUUUUUGUUUGCAGCUGUUGCUCUCAUUUGAAAGGUGCUUUUUGGUGUUUUUGGUUGAGCUUUGGCCACGUUGUGUUUUAUAGUAAAGAUGCCGGAAGCAUCUUCGACUUUUUCUUUUCCUCUUCUAUUUUCUUUCUGUCAUUCCGUUUCUCUUUAGUUUUCCCGUCUGUCUUUUGAUUUCGGUUCCGAUCGGAUCUUCUCGAAGGUGUUUGGCGUUUUUUUCCCCUGUUUUGCACAAACGAAUCGCUCCCGUUCAGGUCUGAGCAUUCUGGUUAGCAGGCCCGCUUAGUUGAAUCAGCUAAGUUUCAUGUCUGACAUCGAUGUACUGCUUCCACUGCCUUUGAUUAAGAUUUUUUGGCGAGAGAAUCAAGUUCAAAAUUCAAUUGAGGUUGCAUUUGCAAAGGGAGAAAAACAUCUUAGAUAGUUUUUGUGCUUAUGAAACAUUUGAGGGUAAGAUGCACAUGGUUAUUUAAAUCUGUGGGUUUUGUUUCUUCGAUUUUAAAAUGGAAAAAACUUAACAUUUUUUUUCCUUAGAUUUUAAUUAGAACGUGUUGUAAAGCUUUUUAUGCAUUGCUGUGGUUUAUUGUAAUAAGUUGGCAACUAUGUAUAAGGAGCUAUUAGUUUUGGAUUUACAGAAAUUAGGUGUUCAAUUAGUUGAGAUUAUUUGGUUUCCUUUCAA
This is a long non-coding RNA of Pyrus x bretschneideri (Chinese white pear), 2974 nucleotides long. RefSeq lists it as uncharacterized. NCBI's taxonomy places the organism in Eukaryota, Viridiplantae, Streptophyta, Magnoliopsida, Rosales, Rosaceae. The record is from RefSeq and is a predicted model, not a curated record. The transcript is spliced from 4 exons.